UCCACACUGGCAGAAAGCUGUGUUCUACUCACUGCUGCCUGUUGGAAAAGAGUUUCUUUCUCUUGAGCCUCUUGGCCAUUUCCAAGGGUAGAGGGAGUUACCCAGGUGCUACGGCUAGGAGGGAGGAACUGGACCUUCUAAGUGCUCUUCACAAGCCUCCUGUCUCCAGAUGUGUACACACUUUCCUCUUUCAUGCAGCAAGCUUUGCUGAGGGUGGGAUGGGUGGGCGGAAUACUGAUUGUGGCGAAGUGCUAGGAGGCUGCAGAUACAGACCACUUGCCUCAGAGUCUGUGUGUGUGUGUGGUGGCGGGCGGGGGGACGGGGGUUGGUGUUUUUUUUUUUUUUUUUUUUUUUUUUUUUUUUUGAGACAGUUUUGCUCUUGUCACCCAGGCUGGGUUGCAAUGGUACAAUCUAGGCUCGCUGCAACCUCCGCCUCCCGGGUUCAAGCAAUUCUCAUGCCUCAGCCUCCUGAGUAGUGGGGACUACAGGUACCCGCCACCACGCCUGGCUAGUUUUUGUAUUUUUAGUAGCGAUGGGGUUUCUCCAUGUUGGCCAGGCUGGUCUCGAACUCCUGACCUCAGUUGAUCCACCCGCCUUAUCCUCCCAAAGCACUGGGAUUACAGGUGUGAGUGACCAUACCCAGCCUGGCCUCAGAGCUUUGAAUAAUAGGGAUGAUACCUUGAUUUCUACCCAACUCCUUGUUUCUUAUUCUAAAUUCCUAAACGUAGAGGAUGAAGUAAUGAUGAGUCUGUAUAAACCCUAUAACCCUAUGUGCUGGCCGCUGCCCUCAGGCUGAUAGUGCAGGACAAAGAUCCCUGUUCUCCUAAAAUGUAUUACCUUCUAAUGAAGGACAAAUGCAUGAAUUGCAGCUGUUCUCACAGCUAAAAUGGCAGGUUCGCAAGAGACUAGGACUAUUCUAUUUUUCUAGACUAGCUAUCUUUGAGGUCUGAGAAAAACUUUUUUCUGCACUGCUGGUUUUUCGUCAAGUUUGGGACAUGACAUACCAUGAAAAUGUACCCUUCCUACAUAGUUUUUCGUUUUGUCUUGUUGUUUGUUUUUAACAUUUGUACCACGGGGAGGGAAGAGCAUCAGGAAGGCAACGGACCCGGUCCUGGAGGGCAACCGUGGGGAGUCCCAGGCCCCCGCUGCCUGGUGCAUCACAUCGUGGGUAGGACAGGUGGGAGCGCUGUCUCCCUGCUGAUCUGGGCUCUUAUCUCUAUGAGGAAGGACCCUUUCCUCACCCGUGAGUCAAACGAUAGAGAAUUCACCUCCACCUGCCAGCCACGCUGUAGCUGGGGUGUGUGUGGAGCCGCACAAACUCUGAUGCUUUGAGCUGCAUGGCACAGAACGUCCACCUGAGAUCACUGCGUAGAAGCUUCCUGGGAAGGCAAUUCCAGGGUCAGUGAACCCCGCGGGACGCCAGCUCCCUGGUUGAGUUUCCCCUGAUGGCCGCUGGGUGGCAGCAGAGCGUCAUCUUCCCUGAGACCCUCCCGGGAGCAGGGCGGGCUCCUCCCCGCAUCCCCACUGUGGAUUUUCUCACCGCAGGCACUGCUGACGGUGGGACCGGCCACUUCCACAUCGGGGUCCCGCCUGUGGGCUGUAGGGUGUUCAGUGACGUCCCUGCUUUUACCUGCCAGGUGCCUUCCCUCCCGCAGUUGUGACAACCAAGAAAGUCUUCAGACACAGCCGGAUGUUACCCGGGGCACCAGCCUGAGACCCGCUGGUCCACGGGAAGCAGGGAGCCCUCCCUCACCAGCACACCCAGCGGCCUCCCCUUCCCCUCGCCGGACGCGACUGGCUCACAGGAAAUCCGUGUCAGCCCUGCUCAGAAGGACCACGACUUCAUUUCACAGACACUGCAGUUCUCAAGAAUCCAGGUGGUGGCAGCAGAGAGCUGAGAGAAACCAGCACUUCCCUACCGGCCCUAAGGAAGGUCCGGAAUAAGAAUAUUGACCUUGCCCAGUUGCAGUGAGCAUUUCUGUAUUGCACCAGUCACAGUGGCGAAUGCAGCUAAGGAGAGGCAGGUAGAUGGAGCCACAGAACCAGAUGUGGUCUGGGCAGUGUUUCAUCCCACCAGGAAUGACAGUGCAUCUGCAGCUCCCAGAGGGCUCUCUGACACCCUACCUCCAACUGUGAGCAAUCAUCUUUACCUCCUCAUCCAGAGGAAGGAGGCCAGCGGGAUGCAGAGCCUCAGCAGCUUCAGCCCAGGCUCAGGGCUGAAGUGGAGAAGCAUCCAGGCCAGUUCUGGCAUUGGUGGAACCAGCUGGGCCGGGGGUUGCCCCAGGUAAAAGGAACAGGACCCAUCACUGAGACCACAGGACAGAGAACACUGAGAAUAUAGACUCAGGUGAGAUGCACGGUUGAGGCUCGUUUGGUUUCUGAGAACCAGCAUGUUGGAUUAUACCCAGAAUAACUAAUCCUUUGCCCAAUUUUCCCAUUUUCCCUCCCAGACACAAAAUAGGACUUACUUUCCGGCUCCCUGAAAGCUGGGCAUGGCCAUGUGCCUUGCUGUGGGGGAUGAACCCAGAGCAGAAGAAGUGUGUGUCGCUUCUGGCUGGAGACUUCAAGAGCAGUACACGAUUUGCCAAGUCUCUCUGCCUGGCCACGGCAAAUGGUGAGUCCCAGAGAGUUGACAACGUGGAGCAGAGCUCCCCGCAACCCAUGGCAGGCACGGAACACAAACAAGAUAAAAUGUUGAGUGUUGUGAGCCCCUGACAUGGGGGCUGUUUGCUUGCAGCAUAACCGGUCCUAUCCUGACACACGCUUGGGGUUGGGGGUCACAAACUCAAAUGCCAGGCAGGCGAUGUGAGGGACCACGUGGGAAAGAGUGGGUGAGGACUUGUUCAAACACAGGUGACAGGCUGGGUGUAGCGGCUCACGCCUGUGAUCCCAGCCCUUUGGGAGGCCGAGGCGGGCAGAUCACCUGAGGUCAGAAGUUCGAGACCAGCCUGGCCAACAUGGCGAAACCUCAUCUCUACUAAAAAUACAAAAAUUAGGCCAGAUGCAGUGGCUCACACCUG
RNAcentral lists this long non-coding RNA (3020 nucleotides) under Homo sapiens (human). RNAcentral describes it as "HSALNT0262560". Lineage: Eukaryota; Metazoa; Chordata; Mammalia; Primates; Hominidae. The record is from RNAcentral.